AGGAUGAACGCUGACGGUGUGCUUAAUACAUGCAAGUUGAACGUGCGAUGCAAGAGUGGCAACACUUUUGCAAAGCAAGUGGCGAACGGGUGAGUAACGCGUGGGUAAUCUACCUCGGAGAUUGGGAUAACCUUUCGAAAGAGAGGCUAAUACCAAAUAUCCUAUAUUUUUUGCAUAAAAAAUAUAGGAAAGGUAGCCGCAAGGCCUCUGCUCUAAGAUGAGCCCGCGUCCUAUUAGCUAGUUGGUAAGGUAAUGGCUUACAAAGGCUAUGAUGGGUAGCCGGCCUGAGAGGGUGUUCGGCCACACUGGGACUGAGAUACGGCCCAGACUCCUAUGGGAGGCAGCAGUAGGGAAUAUUGCGCAAUGGGCGAAAGCCUGACGCAGUGACACCGUGUGAAGGAAGAAGGUCUUUUGAUCGUAAACUUCUGUCAAUUGAGGACGAAGGUGGUAGAGUUAAUAGCUCAAACACUGACGGUACUUAAUAAGGAAGUCUCGGCUAACUCCGUGCCAGCAGCCGCGGUAAUACGGGGGAGGCAAGCGUUGUCCGGAAUUAUUGGGCGUAAAGAGCGCGUAGGCGGUUUUUUAAGUCGUUUGUGAAAAUUUCAGGCUCAACCUGGAAAUUGCAUACGAAACUGGAUAACUUGAGUACAGCAGAGGAAAGUGGAAUUCCUGGUGUAGCGGUGAAAUGCGCAGAUAUCAGGAAGAACACCAGUGGCGAAGGCGGCUUUCUGGGCUGUUACUGACGC
RNAcentral lists this ribosomal RNA (746 nucleotides) under uncultured bacterium. RNAcentral describes it as "bacterial SSU rRNA". It matches the Rfam family "Bacterial small subunit ribosomal RNA", at positions 26 to 746 of the family's 1533-position model. The record is from RNAcentral.